Molecule: ribosomal RNA, 253 nt
Filed under: uncultured bacterium
Lineage: Bacteria
Description: partial 16S ribosomal RNA
Rfam family: Bacterial small subunit ribosomal RNA
Source: RNAcentral
UACGUAGGGUGCAGGCGUUAAUCGGAAUUACUGGGCGUAAAGCGUGCGCAGGCGGUUUUGUAAGUCUGUCGUGAAAGCCCCGGGCUCAACCUGGGAAUUGCGAUGGAGACUGCAAGGCUUGAAUCUGGCAGAGGGGGGUAGAAUUCCACGUGUAGCAGUGAAAUGCGUAGAGAUGUGGAGGAACACCGAUGGCGAAGGCAGCCCCCUGGGUCAAGAUUGACGCUCAUGCACGAAAGCGUGGGGAGCGAACAGG